UCCCGUGGAAGACCCCUUUAAAGGAACCAUAUUAUUUGAUCUACUUUCCCUUUUUCAGUGUAUUUAAAAAAAAAUCAAAGAGUGUUUUUACUUGGCUUAGACUCAAAUCACUAAUUCUGCUGCUUUUACUCUAUUCACAGUAUAUGAACCACUUUGCUGCGGCCAAAUCCAUCUUUCUGCUGCUGUGACUUCAGUCUUUCAGAUAAUGUUAGUGGCUGUUCAUGAUUGAAAAGACUGAGAGAUUUGGUGGCCAAUACGAGAUACAGUUAUCUCAACCAAAGAAAAAUCAGUCUGAAUUUGUCUAGCUUCAAAUUAAAGGCAAAAUAUUUACUGCCUUCAAUGGGAACCAUUGCUAAAUAUCUUGUACAAAGAAAAGCUUUACCCCCUGAGGAAAAUAACUCUUCUUCAGUCAAGUAAUAAGCAAUCCAAUGGAGAGGUGAAGCAAAAUCCAAAGAAGUACAGCAGUACUCAAAGUUCCAGAGGAAGUUCCGAAAGCCCAGGGUAAAAGCAACAAGAUGGUCUGCAAUAAGUGGAAAAUUCCUCACAGACUAAAUAUGCUGUAUAAAUAUUGUUUUGUCUCACUGUUGCUGAAGCAGAGUUAGAAUAAAAUAAGUGUUUAUUUAACCUAAAUAACUUCCUGUAAAAAGCACAAAUUAAAGU
This is a long non-coding RNA of Mauremys reevesii (Reeves's turtle), 660 nucleotides long. RefSeq lists it as uncharacterized. The record is from RefSeq and is a predicted model, not a curated record. Lineage: Eukaryota; Metazoa; Chordata; Testudines; Geoemydidae. The transcript is spliced from 3 exons.